UAACAAGGAUUCCCCUAGUAACUGCGAGUGAAGCGGGAAAAGCUCAAAUUUAAAAUCUGGCGGUUUCACCGUCCGAGUUGUAGUCUGGAGAAGUGCUUUCCGCGCUGGACCGUGUAUAAGUCUCUUGGAACAGAGCGUCAUAGAGGGUGAGAAUCCCGUCUUUGACACGGACUACCAGUGCUUUGUGAUGCGCUCUCGAAGAGUCGAGUUGUUUGGGAAUGCAGCUCAAAAUGGGUGGUAAAUUCCAUCUAAAGCUAAAUAUUGGCGAGAGACCGAUAGCGAACAAGUACCGUGAGGGAAAGAUGAAAAGCACUUUGGAAAGAGAGUUAAACAGUACGUGAAAUUGCUGAAAGGGAAACGCUUGAAGUCAGUCGCGUUGUAUGGAACUCAGCCAUAGCUCUUGCUUGGUGCACUUUCUGUAUGACGGGCCAGCAUCGAUUUUGACCGUCGGAUAAGGGUUGAAGGAAUGUGGCACCUUCGGGUGUGUUAUAGCCUUCAAUCGCAUACGGCGGUUGGGAUCGAGGAACGCAGCGCGCUGCAAGGCAGGGGUUCGCCCACUUUCGCGCUUAGGAUGCUGGCAUAAUGGCUUUAAACGAC
This 597-nucleotide ribosomal RNA is filed under the name Neofavolus alveolaris. Its description in RNAcentral is "eukaryotic LSU rRNA". It matches the Rfam family "Eukaryotic large subunit ribosomal RNA", at positions 66 to 648 of the family's 3401-position model. The record is from RNAcentral. Lineage: Eukaryota; Fungi; Basidiomycota; Agaricomycetes; Polyporales; Polyporaceae.